Molecule: transfer RNA, 66 nt
Filed under: Bothus maculiferus (mottled flounder)
Lineage: Eukaryota; Metazoa; Chordata; Actinopteri; Pleuronectiformes; Bothidae
Description: tRNA-Cys
Source: RNAcentral
AGCUUCGGGGUGUUAUCACGCCAGAUUGCAAAUCUGGAGAGGUAGGCGAGUAGCCUGCCGGGGCUU